UCCUGAUCCAGCCAGGGGAAAGAUGGUUGGGCAGAGAAAUUCUGGCAAGAUAGAUUGCUGCAGUCUGUUGUCUAUUCCCAGCUCGAACCAGAAGUCCAUGAGGUUGUGGGACCCCAACCCUCGGGAGAAGGACCGUCCCGGAGACAAAGUCUAACCUGUCCUGCUGAGGCAGCAGUCCGCGGACACCGACUCUCUUAAGGAAGUAACAAGCACCAGGGUAACCACUUACACUCAGAGAGUAAGGUGGAAAGGCCCGUACCUGAUCCUGAUGAUGACCCACAGGUGUGAAACUGGAAGGACGGCCCGAAUGGACACAUACCACCCGCUGCAAGAGAGCUCCACCUCAAACAAACAGGGACCAGACAGAAGAGGACACCACUCCGACCACCAAGGAUAGAUCCUCAGCCUGACCUGUCUGACCAUCACACUGUGGCUUGCUGGUAACCAGGGACAAGGGGCGAGACAUUUUCAUGCCUAUGUGCAAUCCUGCUACUCUCUGCCCCCCCUCACCACUCAGCUAGCACAGAUCCACUGGGAGAACGUCCCUGCCCCUGAGCUAACCUGUGCUGAGGCAGGCUCAGACACCAAGAGCUAUCUGUCUGAUACCGAGCACCACCCCACCCCUCCCCACCAUGACAAUUCCCCGGGCUACAUUGCCCCCUUCUCAUCCCUCCCCUAACCAAAAAGAGGGGGAAUUGUGGGAAAAGAUCUGUCACCCUGCCUACCCAUAACAGGCCCACACAGAACAUAGGAAAGCAAACUUGGCCAAACUAUACCAAAAAACACCCAGAAUGCUUCAGCAGGGACCAAGCAGGCUGACAAGUGAAACCAGACAGCGCUCGCAGACAAGGGAAUACACUUCCCAAAACCCACUAACAAUACCCGGUCAACUCAGCUGUCCCAAAGCCCCAAGGGCAGUCCCAUAGCACAGCAAUACCAAAGCCACACAAAGAACAGGUCAGAUGGAGAGGCACCACCAAGGACCUCACUCCCAGGCAGGACAAUGGGAAGCACCUAACUGUUUCAAAAGAGACAUUCUCACCUACCUGCAAAGAGAGCUGGAAUCUCCUGAUCCCAUUGACACUGUCAGGAUGUUGCAUUGUAUCGAGAAUCAGGACAUUCUUCCCAUAACGGUUUUUCAAUUGUACCAUUGUAACUGGAUUACUCCAUUUCCAAAUACUUCGUAACUUUCCCCAUUUUAAUUAACCUUAUAGUACAAGAUUUCUAUAAAACCCGGCUUCAUCCUCAGCGCGAGGAAGAGAACCCUUGAUCUAUCUGUACAGACUGUCAGUUCUGGGUCAGCCUAGUCAAUUUCUCUUCCAGCGAUAUCGUUUAUAAUAAACAGCAUGUCAAUUUCACCCGAUUUGGUUUGUGUGGUCUCUGCCUUAUUGGGCUAAUUUCUCCGACACUCUUGUCAUAGGAACAGCAGUCUGAGCCUGUUG
Chiloscyllium plagiosum (whitespotted bambooshark) is the source of this 1442-nucleotide non-coding RNA. NCBI's taxonomy places the organism in Eukaryota, Metazoa, Chordata, Chondrichthyes, Orectolobiformes, Hemiscylliidae. The record is from RefSeq and is a predicted model, not a curated record.